This 254-nucleotide ribosomal RNA is filed under the name uncultured bacterium. Its description in RNAcentral is "partial 16S ribosomal RNA". It matches the Rfam family "Bacterial small subunit ribosomal RNA", at positions 524 to 776 of the family's 1533-position model. The record is from RNAcentral.
CACGUAGGGUCCGAGCGUUGUCCGGAUUUAUUGGGCGUAAAGAGCUCGUAGGCGGUUCCGUAAGUCAGAUGUGAAAACUCAGGGCUCAACCCGGAGACGCCAUCUGAUACUGCGGUGACUGGAGUCUGGUAGGGGAACACGGAAUUCCUGGUGUAGCGGUGAAAUGCGCAGAUAUCAGGAGGAGCACCGAUGGCGAAGGCAGUGUUCUGGGCCAGUACUGACGCUGAGGAGCGAAAGCGUGGGGAGCAAACAGG